This 1048-nucleotide ribosomal RNA is filed under the name uncultured bacterium. RNAcentral describes it as "bacterial SSU rRNA". It matches the Rfam family "Bacterial small subunit ribosomal RNA", at positions 8 to 1034 of the family's 1533-position model. The record is from RNAcentral.
AGAGUUUGAUCCUGGCUCAGGACGAACGCUGGCGGCGUGCCUAAUACAUGCAAGUCGAGCGAACAGAGAAGGAGCUUGCUCCUUCGACGUUAGCGGCGGACGGGUGAGUAACACGUGGGCAACCUACCUUAUAGUUUGGGAUAACUCCGGGAAACCGGGGCUAAUACCGAAUAAUCUGUUUCACCUCAUGGUGAAACACUGAAAGACGGUUUCGGCUGUCGCUAUAGGAUGGGCCCGCGGCGCAUUAGCUAGUUGGUGAGGUAACGGCUCACCAAGGCGACGAUGCGUAGCCGACCUGAGAGGGUGAUCGGCCACACUGGGACUGAGACACGGCCCAGACUCCUACGGGAGGCAGCAGUAGGGAAUCUUCCACAAUGGGCGAAAGCCUGAUGGAGCAACGCCGCGUGAGUGAAGAAGGAUUUCGGUUCGUAAAACUCUGUUGUAAGGGAAGAACAAGUACAGUAGUAACUGGCUGUACCUUGACGGUACCUAACCAGAAAGCCACGGCUAACUACGUGCCAGCAGCCGCGGUAAUACGUAGGUGGCAAGCGUUGUCCGGAAUUAUUGGGCGUAAAGCGCGCGCAGGCGGUCCUUUAAGUCUGAUGUGAAAGCCCACGGCUCAACCGUGGAGGGUCAUUGGAAACUGGAGGACUUGAGUGCAGAAGAGGAGAGUGGAAUUCCACGUGUAGCGGUGAAAUGCGUAGAGAUGUGGAGGAACACCAGUGGCGAAGGCGACUCUCUGGUCUGUAACUGACGCUGAGGCGCGAAAGCGUGGGUAGCGAACAGGAUUAGAUACCCUGGUAGUCCACGCCGUAAACGAUGAGUGCUAAGUGUUAGAGGGUUUCCGCCCUUUAGUGCUGCAGUUAACGCAUUAAGCACUCCGCCUGGGGAGUACGGCCGCAAGGCUGAAACUCAAAGGAAUUGACGGGGGCCCGCACAAGCGGUGGAGCAUGUGGUUUAAUUCGAAGCAACGCGAAGAACCUUACCAGGUCUUGACAUCCCGCUGACCGGUAUAGAGAUAUACCUUUCCCUUCGGGGACAGCGGUGA